GACGAACGCUGGCGGCGUGCUUAACACAUGCAAGUCGAACGGAAAGGCCCUGCUUUUGUGGGGUGCUCGAGUGGCGAACGGGUGAGUAACACGUGAGUAACCUGCCCUUGACUUUGGGAUAACUUCAGGAAACUGGGGCUAAUACCGGAUAGGAGCUCCUGCUGCAUGGUGGGGGUUGGAAAGUUUCGGCGGUUGGGGAUGGACUCGCGGCUUAUCAGCUUGUUGGUGGGGUAGUGGCUUACCAAGGCUUUGACGGGUAGCCGGCCUGAGAGGGUGACCGGCCACAUUGGGACUGAGAUACGGCCCAGACUCCUACGGGAGGCAGCAGUGGGGAAUAUUGCACAAUGGGCGGAAGCCUGAUGCAGCAACGCCGCGUGCGGGAUGACGGCCUUCGGGUUGUAAACCGCUUUCGCCUGUGACGAAGCGUGAGUGACGGUAAUGGGUAAAGAAGCACCGGCUAACUACGUGCCAGCAGCCGCGGUGAUACGUAGGGUGCGAGCGUUGUCCGGAUUUAUUGGGCGUAAAGGGCUCGUAGGUGGUUGAUCGCGUCGGAAGUGUAAUCUUGGGGCUUAACCCUGAGCGUGCUUUCGAUACGGGUUGACUUGAGGAAGGUAGGGGAGAAUGGAAUUCCUGGUGGAGCGGUGGAAUGCGCAGAUAUCAGGAGGAACACCAGUGGCGAAGGCGGUUCUCUGGGCCUUUCCUGACGCUGAGGAGCAAAGCGUGGGGAGCGAACAGGCUUAGAUACCCUGGUAGUCCACGCUGUAAACGGUGGGUACUAGGUGUGGGGUCCAUUCCACGGGUUCCGUGCCGUAGCUAACGCUUUAAGUACCCCGCCUGGGGAGUACGGCCGCAAGGCUAAAACUCAAAGGAAUUGACGGGGCCCCGCACAAGCGGCGGAGCAUGCGGAUUAAUUCGAUGCAACGCGUAGAACCUUACCUGGGUUUGACAUGGAUCGGGAGUGCUCAGAGAUGGGUGUGCCUCUUUUGGGGUCGGUUCACAGGUGGUGCAUGCCUGUCGUCAGCUCGUGUCGUGAGAUGUUGGGUUAAGUCCCGCAACGAGCGCAACCCUUGUUCACUGUUGCCAGCACGUUAUGGUGGGGACUCAGUGGAGACCGCCGGGGUCAACUCGGAGGAAGGUGGGGAUGACGUCAAGUCAUCAUGCCCCUUAUGUCCAGGGCUUCACGCAUGCUACAAUGGCUGGUACAGAGAGUGGCGAGCCUGUGAGGGUGAGCGAAUCUCGGAAAGCCGGUCUCAGUUCGGAUUGGGGUCUGCAACUCGACCUCAUGAAGUCGGAGUCGCUAGUAAUCGCAGAUCAGCAACGCUGCGGUGAAUACGUUCCCGGGGCU
This 1345-nucleotide ribosomal RNA is filed under the name uncultured bacterium. Its description in RNAcentral is "partial 16S ribosomal RNA". It matches the Rfam family "Bacterial small subunit ribosomal RNA", at positions 28 to 1381 of the family's 1533-position model. The record is from RNAcentral.